RNAcentral lists this ribosomal RNA (495 nucleotides) under uncultured bacterium. RNAcentral's name for it is "partial 16S ribosomal RNA". It matches the Rfam family "Bacterial small subunit ribosomal RNA", at positions 28 to 507 of the family's 1533-position model. The record is from RNAcentral.
GACGAACGCUGGCGGCGUGCCUAAUACAUGCAAGUAGAACGCUGAAGGAGGAGCUUGCUCUUCUGGAUGAGUUGCGAACGGGUGAGUAACGCGUAGGUAACCUGCCUGGUAGCGGGGGAUAACUAUUGGAAACGAUAGCUAAUACCGCAUAAGAGUAGAUGUUGCAUGACAUUUACUUAAAAGGUGCAAUUGCAUCACUACCAGAUGGACCUGCGUUGUAUUAGCUAGUUGGUGGGGUAACGGCUUACCAAGGCGACGAUACAUAGCCGACCUGAGAGGGUGAUCGGCCACGCUGGGACUGAGACACGGCCCAGACUCCUACGGGAGGCAGCAGUAGGGAAUCUUCGGCAAUGGACGGAAGUCUGACCGAGCAACGCCGCGUGAGUGAAGAAGGUUUUCGGAUCGUAAAGCUCUGUUGUAAGAGAAGAACGAGUGUGAGAGUGGAAAGUUCACACUGUGACGGUAUCUUACCAGAAAGGGACGGCUAACUACGUG